This 544-nucleotide ribosomal RNA is filed under the name uncultured Gammaproteobacteria bacterium. Its description in RNAcentral is "bacterial SSU rRNA". It matches the Rfam family "Bacterial small subunit ribosomal RNA", at positions 1 to 535 of the family's 1533-position model. The record is from RNAcentral. Lineage: Bacteria; Pseudomonadati; Pseudomonadota; Gammaproteobacteria.
UAGUGAUUAGAGUUUGAGCGUGGCUCAGAUUAAACUCUAAUCGAAUUCCCGACACAGGCAUGGCGAACGGCAGCAUGUGACUUCGGUCUUAAUUCGGUCUAUAGGGAGUCGGGUGAGUAACACGUAGGAAUCUGUCCUGGAGCGUGGGAUAACCCGAGGAAACUCGGGCUAAUACCACAUGAUAUCGAGAGAUCAAAAGCAGGGGACCGAAAGGCCUUGCGCUCUGGGGUGAGCCUACGUCGGAUUAGCUAGUUGGUGGGGUAAAAGCCUACCAAGGCGACGAUCCGUAGCUGGUCUGAGAGGAUGACCAGCCACACUGGGACUGAGACACGGCCCAGACUCCUACGGGAGGCAGCAGUGGGGAAUCUUGGACAAUGGGGGAAACCCUGAUCCAGCGAUGCCGCGUGUGUGAAGAAAGAAUUCGGGUUGUAAGCACUUUACGUGGGGAAGAAAGGUAACGAGCGAAUAACUCGUUGCUAUGACGUCACCCGAGAUAAGCACCGGCUAACUCUGUGCCAUCAGCUAAUACGAAUCGAAUUCCCGC